RNAcentral lists this unclassified non-coding RNA (310 nucleotides) under plant metagenome. RNAcentral's name for it is "partial contains 5.8S ribosomal RNA, internal transcribed spacer 2, and large subunit ribosomal RNA". The stretch from base 1 to 105 matches the Rfam family "5.8S ribosomal RNA", at positions 50 to 154 of the family's 154-position model. The record is from RNAcentral.
GAAAUGCGAUAAGUAGUGUGAAUUGCAGAAUUCAGUGAAUCAUCGAAUCUUUGAACGCACAUUGCGCCCCUCGGUAUUCCGUGGGGCAUGCCUGUUCGAGCGUCAUCUACACCCUCAAGCUCUGCUUGGUGUUGGGCGUCUGUCCCGCCUCCUUCGCGCGCGGACUCGCCCCAAAUCCAUUGGCGGCGGCCCUCGCCUCCCUCUCGCGCAGCACAUUGCGCUUCUCGAGGCGCGGCGGACCGCGUCCAGCAAGCAACCGUCACACCGUCUUUGACCUCGGAUCAGGUAGGGAUACCCGCUGAACUUAAGC